GGGGGGUCUCAUCCCAGUCCAAUAUGAGGUGGGGGGGGUCUCAUCCCAGUCCAAUGUGAGAGUGGGGGGUCUCAUCCCAGUCCAAUGUGAGGUGAGGGGGGGUCUCAUCCCAGUCCAAUGUGAGGUGGGGGGGUCUCAUCCCAGUCCAAUGUGAGGUGGGGGGGUAUCAUCCCAGUCCAAUGUGAGGUGGGUGGGGGUCUCAUCCCAGUCCAAUGUGAGGUGGGGGGGGGGCAAGUCUCAUCCCAGUCCAAUGUGAGGUGGGGGAGUCUCAUCCCAGUCCAAUGUGAGGUGGGGGGGUCUCAUCCCAGUCCAAUGUGAGGUGAGGCGGUCUCGUCCCAGUCCAAUGUCAGGUGGGGGUCUCGUCCCAGUCUAAUGUGAGGUGGGGGG
This is a long non-coding RNA of Oncorhynchus tshawytscha (Chinook salmon), 387 nucleotides long. Lineage: Eukaryota; Metazoa; Chordata; Actinopteri; Salmoniformes; Salmonidae. The record is from Ensembl.